This 145-nucleotide ribosomal RNA is filed under the name uncultured eukaryote. RNAcentral describes it as "partial 18S ribosomal RNA". It matches the Rfam family "Eukaryotic small subunit ribosomal RNA", at positions 1299 to 1458 of the family's 1831-position model. The record is from RNAcentral.
UGGUGGAGUGAUUUGUCUGGUUAAUUCCGUUAACGAACGAGACCUCAGCCUGCUAACUAGUCAGUCGUAGGGUUCACGCUCUACUUCGUCGACUUCUUAGAGGGACUACCAGGGUUGCACCUGGUGGAAGUUUGAGGCAAUAACA